This 1519-nucleotide ribosomal RNA is filed under the name metagenome. RNAcentral describes it as "bacterial SSU rRNA". It matches the Rfam family "Bacterial small subunit ribosomal RNA". The record is from RNAcentral.
AGGGUUUGAUCCUGGCUCAGAAUGAACGUUGGCGGCGUGGAUUAGGCAUGCAAGUCGAACGCGAAAGUUCCUUCGGGGGCGAGUAGAGUGGCGAAAGGGUGAGUAAUCCAUGAACAAUCUGCCCUCCGCAAGGGGAUAGCCACUGGAAACGGUGGAUAAUACCGUAUACGUCCAAACGGUCGCAUGGCUGUUUGGAGAAAGGUGCUUCGGUGCCGGCGGUGGAGGGGUUCAUGGCCUAUCAGCUUGUUGGUGAGGUAACGGCUCACCAAGGCGAUGACGGGUAGCCGGACUGAGAGGUUGACCGGCCACACCGGGACUGAGACACUGCCCGGACACCUACGGGUGGCUGCAGUCGAGAAUCUUCGGCAAUGCGCGAAGCGUGACCGAGCGACGCCGCGUGCGGGAAGAAGGCCUUCGGGUUGUAAACCGCUUUUGGGGGGUAUGAAUAAGGUCGGGUAACGCCGGCUGAUGACGUCAACCCCUGAAUAAGCCCCGGCUAAGUUCGUGCCAGGAGCCGCGGUAAUACGAACGGGGCAAACGUUAUUCGGAAUCACUGGGCAUAAAGGGCGCGUAGGCGGACUCUUAAGUCGGGGUUGAAAGCCCUCGGCUCAACCGAGGAAUUGGUCCCGAUACUGGGAGUCUUGAGGAUGGCAGGGGGGUGUGGAACGUCUGGUGGAGCGGUGAAAUGCGUAGAUAUCAGACGGAACACCGGUGGCGAAGGCGACACCCUGGGCCAUAUCUGACGCUGAGGCGCGAAAGCGUGGGGAGCAAACAGGAUUAGAUACCCUGGUAGUCCACGCUGUAAACGAUGAGCACUAGGAGGGGGGGUUCUACCGGCCUCCUCUUCGUAGCUAAUGCAAUAAGUGCUCCGCCUGGGGAGUAUACUCGCAAGGGUGAAACUCAAAGGAAUUGACGGGGGCUCACACAAGCGGUGGAGCAUGUGGUUUAAUUCGAAUCAACGCGCAGAACCUUACCAGGCCUUGACAUAUGCGAAAGCGCCCGGAAGUAGCUGCCCGAAAGGGUUAGCAAACGGUAACCAGUCCGGAACCGGGUACAGGUGUUGCAUGGCUGUCGUCAGCUCGUGUCGUGAGAUGUCGGGUUAAGUCCCAUAACGAGCGAAACCCCUAUCGUUAGUUGCCAGCGGGUAAUGCCGGGGACUCUAGCGAGACUGCCUCGAAAGACGGAGGAAGGUGGGGAUGACGUCAAGUCAUCAUGGCCCUUAUGGCCUGGGCUACACACGUGCUACAAUGGGGCGGACAACGGGUCGCAAACCCGCGAGGGCAAGCUAAUCCCAUAAACCGUCCCCCAGUUCGGAUUGCAGGCUGCAAUUCGCCUGCAUGAAGCCGGAAUCGCUAGUAAUCCCGGGUCAGCCUUACCGGGGUGAAUAUGUUCCUGAGCCUUGUACACACCGCCCGUCAAGCCACGAAAGCUGGCAGCGCCUGAAGUCGUGAGUCUAACCCUUCGGGGAGGGCCACGCCCACGGUGAGGCCGGUGAUUGGGACUAAGUCGUAACAAGGUA